CGCAGCUUUAUACCAAUUUAAAAAAAAACACUGAAUAGCCUUAUCCAAACAUUGCAUCAGCCACCUUGUCUUUAAGCAAAGUCACUUGUUUCUAGCAAAGGGGAAUAGAAGAAUAACAAAACCGGGCAAGACAAUCUAUUCCAAAAAGAAGGAUAUUGUAUGUGAGCAUAUAUCCAACAUAUUCAUCAACUUGUUGUUUCAUCGAG
This 206-nucleotide long non-coding RNA is filed under the name Lupinus angustifolius (narrow-leaved blue lupine). RNAcentral's name for it is "long non-coding RNA (LANG_LNC003469)". Lineage: Eukaryota; Viridiplantae; Streptophyta; Magnoliopsida; Fabales; Fabaceae. The record is from RNAcentral.